AAUGAAAGUAUUAACGGGUAUUUCCUGGAACGAGAUGUCUGGGUAAACUGCUGAAGCAUUUUCAUGCUUGGGAUUGUGAACGGGAAGUGUUCACAUGAAC
RNAcentral lists this ribosomal RNA (100 nucleotides) under Glossina morsitans morsitans. RNAcentral describes it as "eukaryotic small subunit ribosomal RNA". Lineage: Eukaryota; Metazoa; Arthropoda; Insecta; Diptera; Glossinidae. The record is from RNAcentral.